RNAcentral lists this ribosomal RNA (915 nucleotides) under Russula atroglauca. RNAcentral describes it as "partial large subunit ribosomal RNA". It matches the Rfam family "Eukaryotic large subunit ribosomal RNA", at positions 65 to 955 of the family's 3401-position model. The record is from RNAcentral. Lineage: Eukaryota; Fungi; Basidiomycota; Agaricomycetes; Russulales; Russulaceae.
CUAACAAGGAUUCCCCUAGUAACUGCGAGUGAAGCGGGAAAAGCUCAAAUUUGGAAUCUGGUGGUCUUUGGCCAUCCGAGUUGUAAUUUAGAGAAGCGUCUUCCGCGCUGGACCGUGCACAAGUCUCCUGGAAUGGAGCGUCAUAGAGGGUGAGAAUCCCGUCUUUGGCACGGAAUCCCAGGGCUUCUGUGAUGCGCUCUCGACGAGUCGAGUUGUUUGGGAAUGCAGCUCAAAAUGGGUGGUGAACUCCAUCUAAAGCUAAAUAUUGGCGAGAGACCGAUAGCGAACAAGUACCGUGAGGGAAAGAUGAAAAGCACUUUGGAAAGAGAGUGAAACAGUACGUGAAAUUGUUGAAAGGGAAACGCUUGAAGUCAGUCGCGUCGACCGAGACUCAGCCUUGCCUCGGCUUGGUGUACUUCUCGGCUUGACGGGUCAGCAUCGAUUUCGAUCCUCGGAUAAUGGCAAGGGAAAGGUAGCACCUUUUUAGGUGUGUUAUAGUCCUCUGUCGCAUGCGAGGGUCGGGAUCGAGGAACUCAGCACGCACCUCAGGGUGUCGGGGCCUUGGCCCACGUUUACGUGCUUAGGAUGCUGGCGUAAUGGCUUUAAACGACCCGUCUUGAAACACGGACCAAGGAGUCUAACAUACCCGCGAGUGUUCGGGUGGAAAACCCGUGCGCGUAAUGAAAGUAAAAGUUGGGACCUCUGUCGCGGAGGGCACCGACGCCCGGACCAGACCUUCUGUGACGGCUCUGCGGUAGAGCGUGUAUGUUGGGACCCGAAAGAUGGUGAACUAUGCCUGAAUAGGGUGAAGCCAGAGGAAACUCUGGUGGAGGCUCGUAGCGAUUCUGACGUGCAAAUCGAUCGUCAAAUUUGGGUAUAGGGGCGAAAGACUAAUCGAACCAUCUAGUAGCUGGU